RNAcentral lists this ribosomal RNA (491 nucleotides) under uncultured bacterium. RNAcentral's name for it is "partial 16S ribosomal RNA". It matches the Rfam family "Bacterial small subunit ribosomal RNA", at positions 29 to 507 of the family's 1533-position model. The record is from RNAcentral.
GUGAACGCUGGCGGUAGGCCUAACCCAUGCCAGUCGCACGGCAGCACAGUAAGAGCUUGCUCUUACGGGUGGCGAGUGGCGGACGGGUGAGGAAUACAUCGGAAUCUACUUUUUCGUGGGGGAUAACGUAGGGAAACUUACGCUAAUACCGCAUACGACCUGCGGGUGAAAGCAGGGGAUCUUCGGACCUUGCGCGAUUGAAUGAGCCGAUGUCGGAUUAGCUAGUUGGCGGGGUAAAGGCCCACCAAGGCGACGAUCCGUAGCUGGUCUGAGAGGAUGAUCAGCCACACUGGAACUGAGACACGGUCCAGACUCCUACGGGAGGCAGCAGUGGGGAAUAUUGGACAAUGGGCGCAAGCCUGAUCCAGCCAUACCGCGUGGGUGAAGAAGGCCUUCGGGUUGUAAAGCCCUUUUGUUGGGAAAGAAAAGCAGCAGGUUAAUACCCCGCUGUUCUGACGGUACCCAAAGAAUAAGCACCGGCUAACUUCGUG